This 463-nucleotide ribosomal RNA is filed under the name Bacteroidales bacterium. RNAcentral's name for it is "bacterial SSU rRNA". It matches the Rfam family "Bacterial small subunit ribosomal RNA", at positions 1 to 451 of the family's 1533-position model. Lineage: Bacteria; Pseudomonadati; Bacteroidota; Bacteroidia; Bacteroidales. The record is from RNAcentral.
AAACAACGGAGAGUUUGAUCCUGGCUCAGGAUGAACGCUAGCGGCAGGCUUAACACAUGCAAGUCGAGGGGCAGCGGGGAGGAAGCUUGCUUUCUCCGCCGGCGACCGGCGCACGGGUGAGUAACACGUAUGCAACCUGCCCCUGUCAGGGGGACAACCCGCCGAAAGGCGGGCUAAACCCGCGUACAUGCCACCGGGGCAUCCCGGAGGCAGGAAAGGCUUCGGCCGGACAGGGAUGGGCAUGCGGCGCAUUAGGCAGUAGGCGGGGUAACGGCCCACCUAACCGACGAUGCGUAGGGGUUCUGAGAGGAAGGUCCCCCACACUGGUACUGAGACACGGACCAGACUCCUACGGGAGGCAGCAGUGAGGAAUAUUGGUCAAUGGUCGGGAGACUGAACCAGCCAAGCCGCGUGAGGGAGGAAGGUACAGAGUAUCGUAAACCUCUUUUGUCAGGGAACAAAG